AGAGAGAAUAUGAGAGGAGAGGAUGGGAGGGAGGAGUAACAAAAGUGAACAAAAACUAAAAACUGAAGUCUAUUUGAAAUUGUUUUCACUUUCAAGUUUUUGUUUUCACUUUUGUUACUCCUCCCUCUCAUCCUCUUUCUCAAUCUCAUCCUC
This 153-nucleotide microRNA precursor is filed under the name Prunus dulcis (almond). RNAcentral describes it as "sRNA ncRNA". Lineage: Eukaryota; Viridiplantae; Streptophyta; Magnoliopsida; Rosales; Rosaceae. The record is from RNAcentral.